RNAcentral lists this transfer RNA (87 nucleotides) under Leclercia adecarboxylata. RNAcentral describes it as "tRNA-Leu". It matches the Rfam family "tRNA". From Rfam's summary of the family: Transfer RNA (tRNA) molecules are approximately 80 nucleotides in length. Their secondary structure includes four short double-helical elements and three loops (D, anti-codon, and T loops). Further hydrogen bonds mediate the characteristic L-shaped molecular structure. tRNAs have two regions of fundamental functional importance: the anti-codon, which is responsible for specific mRNA codon recognition, and the 3' end, to which the tRNAs corresponding amino acid is attached (by aminoacyl-tRNA synthetases). tRNAs cope with the degeneracy of the genetic code in two manners: having more than one tRNA (with a specific anti-codon) for a particular amino acid; and 'wobble' base-pairing, i.e. permitting non-standard base-pairing at the 3rd anti-codon position. Lineage: Bacteria; Pseudomonadati; Pseudomonadota; Gammaproteobacteria; Enterobacterales; Enterobacteriaceae. The record is from RNAcentral.
GCGCGGGUGGUGAAAGUGGUAGACACGCCAGCUUCAGGUGCUGGUGAUCGCAAGGUCGUGGAAGUUCGAGUCUUCUCCUGGGCGCCA